This is a long non-coding RNA of Callorhinus ursinus (northern fur seal), 2564 nucleotides long. RefSeq lists it as uncharacterized. Lineage: Eukaryota; Metazoa; Chordata; Mammalia; Carnivora; Otariidae. The record is from RefSeq and is a predicted model, not a curated record.
UAAAAUCUUUUUUAAAAAAAUAAAUGUAUCACCAACAUUUUGUAUUUUACCAUCUCUUGCACAAGGCUCUGCCUUUCUCGAUCCUUCUUAGAAGGAAGUAACCGUUUUUCCAGUUCUCAUGGCACUUCAUCUGAGCCUCUUUAUUGUCCAGCCACGUUCCACUGUGUGGCACACUUACAGCAUUCAUGCCUCAUCACUUCUGCUCGAGGCCAGGAUCCAUGCCUGGUGUUAAUUCCACAGCCUUCAGUGCACCUGGCGCUUGAAAAAGCAAGCCUGAGGUUUUCCACAUGUCAUUGUGAACCACUCACUUUGCCACUGCACAUAGUACUGACCUCAGAACUUAACAAUGGUGCAGGCACCCUCUUCUCUAAACACACGGUACAAGAAGUAUACAGAAUAAAUUGUGAUAGUUCUUUUUCACGUAUCUUCCAAUUUUUUCUUCCUUUCCAGAAGUAACCACUGUUACCUAUUUAUUAAAUACUCUUACAGGCUUUUUCAUCAUAAUGUUUUACUAGGAUGGCCCUGUCUUCUGUGAUGUCAGUGGAACUUCUGAUUUCAUCUAAAGGACCAAAACUGUGUUCCAGGAUAUGGCAGUCACUGUUCUCUGGCUAAACCAACAGCCAUUUACCACCCCUCCUUCUCUCUUCCCCAAUUCUUCCUUUCUUGAACUGAAGUGUGACAUCUGGAGCUGAAGCAACUAUCUUGUGCCACUGAGGCAACAGUUGGUAGACUAACUAUGAGAGCAGGAAGGAAGGAGGAGCUUGAUUUUGCUGACAUCACGGAGCACUGCAUAAGACUUGGACCUGCCUACCUUCUAACUUUCUGCUCAAUGAGAAAAAUAAUUGCUUAGUUAUUGUUAGUUAGGUUUUUGUUACUGAUAUUUAAGAAUAAUUCAAACUGGUAUAAGUAUAACCAUCCGUUUCCCCAGAAGAGCUGCUCAGGUCAUCAGAAGCCACCAACAUGAAAAAGGAGUCACAAGACUUACCUGCGCACAGGAGGCACUGACCAUCCAGGCUCCUUGCACUUGGUUUGCUGAUUGUCAGUCAAGUCAAUGCAGUGGCAAUGUGUAAGCAGUGGGUUUCACAUCUGCUUUACUCAUGCCUGCAUUCUCUUUUUUUCUCCAAUUGGGAGUCCCAUGGAAUGACUAACUUCCCAACAGAUGCUUCCAGAAAUGGCCUCAGUGAAAAUGUCAGCAGCCACAAUUCAACGACUAUCCCCAAGAUCAUUCGAUGCUAUCCACACUGCCCAUCAACAAAACUUUGCCAGGGGAAGCAGGUGCCAUUUGCAAAUUACUGCUUGGUAAAACAACAAAUGAGAAUGACCCAGGUGCAAAAGGGCACUCCCUUUUGCAAUGAUCCAGCUCCCAAAUGUAUGAUAUUGGUUUGUAUUUUCAGAAAUGAAACUAAGUCUGAUUCUUUGGAACCAAGGAGAUUUCUAGGUAGAGAGCCUGCUGCUUAAUAGGCCCCCAAAACACCAUCUCUCACCUGCCCUGAGUUCUGCCCUCUGGUCUAGUACAGGAUAGAUGACUCUGAGAUUCAUUGGCUGUUCACACCGGGAAAGUUUGCACAGACACUUCCUAAUAAUGUGUUUGCAAUGGUUAUGUACAGCUUUGAGCAUUGCUUUGCCCUUCCCCUUACUGUUAGUUGGAAAUAUGUAUUUUUCUCACUCCAGACUAUUCCCCAGAAAAAAAUUCUUUUCUCAGAGAAGAGUUAAAGAAUAUGUAAUGGAGUCCUAUAGAAAUAAGACUGAAGGUUCCAGAUUCUGAAAUUGAUUGAUCAACUCUGUGUAGCAGAAUGCAGAAGAGAUGUAGAGAACAAAGUCCGGGACUAUUUACACCUACUUGUUAACAGUGAUUACCUCUGCCCCUCUAUCCUCUCUGUUCCUACCUCCCUUACUUCCUGCCCUUUCUCCCCUUUUCCCCUCCUCUCCCUUUUACCAUUUCUUUGCUAACAUAAACCUAGUUUGUCAUUGUCUGAAGUCAAGAGUAAAAGACAAAUAUAAAAAAUUCUGAAAGAGAAAUUACUUGUAAUGUGAGCUCCAUUCUGUGUGUUAACUUCAGCCAUUUGUUUACAUUUGGCAAAUCUCUGGGUCCUCAAAUUCUAGGAAAAUGUUUCUAAUAAUGCUAAUAUUUUACAAUUUGUGAACUAGAGUUUUGUUUUUUGUUUUUUUUUUUUUAAAGAUUUAAUGUACUGUUGGAAGAUGGGGGGACAUUCCUCCACCACUUUUGAUGUUUCUUCCAUGUGGAUGAAAUGUAAUUAUUUAACUCCUGACCUCUCUCUUUAUUAGCUCUUCCUUUGGGGAGUAAUUUAUUUGAUAGGUAAAUUUGAAAUGUAAAUACCUAGGUAUGUUCUGCUCAGCUUCUCUUCUUCCUCUGGGGAGCUAGCAGGUCACAGGAGUUCCAGCUAUGCUCUGUUCUUCCAGGGCAAGCUCUGCUCUGCCCCUGCCCAGGGAAGGAAGUCUAACAUGACUGGGUAAGGUACAUCUGCCUAAUUCUGGAGUUCAUUUAAUUAAACUAUGCCCUCCAAUCUAGUUUUAUCAGCAAUAAAGUUAAUAUUUUAAUUCUC